Molecule: transfer RNA, 72 nt
Filed under: Camelus bactrianus (Bactrian camel)
Lineage: Eukaryota; Metazoa; Chordata; Mammalia; Artiodactyla; Camelidae
Also listed under: 2 other names
Rfam family: tRNA
About the family: Transfer RNA (tRNA) molecules are approximately 80 nucleotides in length. Their secondary structure includes four short double-helical elements and three loops (D, anti-codon, and T loops).
Source: Rfam by way of RNAcentral
GAGAGAAUAGCUUAGUGGUAGAGCCUCUGCUUUGCAUGCAGUUAGUCCUGGGUUCAAUCCCAGGUACUGCCA